ACUUGGUUGGCUCAGUUGGUAGAGCAUGCGACUCUUGAUCUCAGGGUCGUGAGUUCAAGCCCCACAUUGGGCA
RNAcentral lists this transfer RNA (73 nucleotides) under Felis catus (domestic cat). It matches the Rfam family "tRNA". Rfam says of the family: Transfer RNA (tRNA) molecules are approximately 80 nucleotides in length. The record is from Rfam by way of RNAcentral. Lineage: Eukaryota; Metazoa; Chordata; Mammalia; Carnivora; Felidae.